RNAcentral lists this long non-coding RNA (244 nucleotides) under Mytilus galloprovincialis (Mediterranean mussel). The record is from RNAcentral. Lineage: Eukaryota; Metazoa; Mollusca; Bivalvia; Mytilida; Mytilidae.
UGUAAUAUACAACCAGAAACCAUUAUACACUUAUUGUGGGAAUGUGAAGAAGUACAAAUUUUGUUAGAAAAUUUUGAUACAUGGACUUCAUCUACAGCACACAUAACACUUAACUAUAAUUGUAAGACUUUUGUAUUUGGUAUUUUUGAUGUUAGAAACUGUAUUGUACAAAAUAAGAUAUUGCUCUGUAUUAAAUAUUAUAUUUAUUCAAGUCGAUGUUUGAAAAAAGUUCUAUCACUUCAGG